GACGAACGCUGGCGGCGUGCUUAACACAUGCAAGUCGAACGGUAAGGCCGCAGCUUGCUGCGCUACACGGGGGGCAAAGGGGGGAGUAACACGUGGGUUACCUACCCCGCACUUCGGGGGAAGCCAAGGAAACUGAGUCUAAUACCAGAUAGGAUCGCACCGUGAGGGUGUGGCUGAAGGUUUUUCGGUGUGGUGUGGGGGCGAGGGCUGUCAGCGGGUUGGGGGGGUAGUGGCCUACCGAGGCUGCGACGGGUAGCUGGCCUGAGAGGGUGGACGGCCAAGUUGGGCCGGGGACACGGCCCAGCCUACUAUGGGAGGCAGCGGUGGAGAAUAGUGCACAAGGGGCGGAAGCCUGAUGCAGCGACGCCGCGUGGGGGAUGACGGCCUGCGGGUUGUAAACUAAUUUCACCAUAGACGAAGGUUUUAUGACGGUAGCUGGAGAAGAAGCACCGGCUAACUACGUG
This 464-nucleotide ribosomal RNA is filed under the name uncultured bacterium. RNAcentral's name for it is "partial 16S ribosomal RNA". It matches the Rfam family "Bacterial small subunit ribosomal RNA", at positions 28 to 507 of the family's 1533-position model. The record is from RNAcentral.